This 255-nucleotide unclassified non-coding RNA is filed under the name Hevea brasiliensis (rubber tree). Lineage: Eukaryota; Viridiplantae; Streptophyta; Magnoliopsida; Malpighiales; Euphorbiaceae. The record is from RNAcentral.
GUGAAAAACUCAAGCAAAUUAUAGCAUGCAAUGCAAUCAAAUUAAAUUAGUAAAACAAGCUCACGAUUUUCUUUGAGCUCCAAUAAGUCACAUCAAAAUUUGGCCUCGAGCAUGUAUAAUUGGCAUGCACCUUUAACAUGCGAAAUAACGAAUAUGUGUGGUUGAUUAAUUAUCUAUUCAUUGCAAGAUUGUAAAAUUUGCCUUCAAUUGCGAUUGAUGUGCUUGGUAUUGGACUGAUGAUAGCUAGGCUUAUAU